Molecule: long non-coding RNA, 1257 nt
Organism: Equus asinus (donkey)
Lineage: Eukaryota; Metazoa; Chordata; Mammalia; Perissodactyla; Equidae
Source: Ensembl
GUUCCGUGUAAAUCAUGUGGCCACUGAAAGUGAGGAUGUAGAUUCGUUCAUCCUGCAGGUUUGGCUACACCACCCACCUUGUCGCAGACGCUGUUCUAGGUGCUGGGGACACGUCAGUGAAGAAAACAGAAGCAGACCUCUGUCCCCAUGGCGCCUGCAGUCUAGUGCUGUCGUAGUCUGUCCUGGCGGCUAUAACAAUUUAUCAUAAACUCGGUGGCUUAAAAGCGACAUUUCUUUCUCACAGUUCUGAAGACUGGGAAGUCCACCAUCAAGGCACCGGCAGAUUCAGUGUUUGGGGAAAAUCGCAAAGAAAAGGUAAACCCUUUGUGAGGAAUUCCCCUGUGGUCACACGGCAGUUCCUGGACCUGCUGCCCAUCUCGGAUCUGCACUGCCCCUUCUUCAAACUUCUGAAGAGGGAUUCAAGUGGCUUGUGCGGUGAAGCCAAGAUUUCCAACUCAGUCGCCUGAAGAGACGGAGGCUCCGUUUGUGGAGCUGGAGGUCCCUGGAGAUCUGGGCGUUAACGUAACAAGCACGGACAAGGGCCAGCUGCUGACUUGACUCCUCUGGGCCUCGAUUUCAUCUUCUGUAAAAAGGGGCUAAUUAUGUUUGUUGUGAAGACUAAGUUAAUAUGUGAAAAGUAUGUGACACAAUGGAAGAAACGUUGAGAAACAUUGACAUUAUUUUUGUUAUUUAGGCUACAUUGAGUCUGGUUCACUAAGAGACACCCAAGUGGACACAGGAUUAGAUGGGUCAGGAGCUCAGCAGAGGAGAGAGUUACAGAGAUUUGGGGUCAUUACCAUAGUGGGUGGUGGCAUAUUAAGAAAUACAUAUUUGGUCUUUGUCCCCAGUUCCCGACACAGAGCUCCUCAAUCCCUUGGCGUUUCCUGGGUGAUAGGGGCGUCUUUGUUCCAGUGAGGUGACUGUUGGUGGGCGGGCCCCUAGAUAGCUUCAGGAUGGGGGCUGGUCGCCUGAAAGAUCAGCCUUGAUUAGAAGCCUGGAACUUUCAGCCCCACUCCCACCUCCAACCUCCGGGGAGGGGAGGGGGCUGCAAACUGAGUUAAUAAUCGGUUAUGCCUAAGUGAUGAAACCUCCAUAAAAACCCCUAAGCGAAGGGGUUCGGAGAGCUUCCGAGCUGGUGAACGAGUCCACAUGCCCGGAGGGCGGCGCACCCCGACUCCACAGGACAGAAGUUCCUGCGCUCGGGCCCUUCUGGACCUCGCCCUGUGUAGCACCUCUCUAUCUGACUGCUCACUUGGA